UCAUACAACUGAGGUGCAACAGCUGUCGCUGAUCUUUAGAGGUCGUGCACGCCUGAGCACUCUCACACAAUCCAUUUCAUCACCUUUUGUGCAUCCACCGCGUGGGCCCCCCUUUUGCAAAGGAGGGUUUGCGUUUUCACAUAAAACUUGUUACAGUGUAGAAUGUUUUUCUUUUUUUGCGGUUACACGCAAUCAAUA
Molecule: unclassified non-coding RNA, 198 nt
Filed under: uncultured fungus
Lineage: Eukaryota; Fungi
Description: sequence contains ITS1, 5.8S rRNA gene
Source: RNAcentral